CCAACCACUACAGAUAUGCAGACCCUGACAACAGAACACCAGUUGCUGACCAACUGGCAUCUUGUGGCCUUCUGUCAUAAGAAGCAAUUUUGAUAUAGUUCUCCUUCCAUCCUUUCUGGAGGAUGAUGGAUCCUCCUUCACCAAAGAAGCUUAGGCUUUGUGGGAGCAGCAACAAACCUGAGCCAAUGGAAGCUGAAAGUGACAUCAAGCCCAUGGAGGUAGGACUGUCUCCAGAGGAACAACAAGCAGAGAAAUAACAUCCUCUUGAAGCAAUUGGUUGGCCAGUCAUACUUCUGAGUGCAAAUCUUCCAAAGGAGCUGCAGGUCACAGGAUGCAGGAAAGCAGUUGCACACAGAAAAAUUGUUUUCUUGGGCUAUCGUUUACCUUUUAAUCCUCUUAUUCUUUUCUCUGCAGAAUAAAAUGUUGUGGUAGUUUAGGUUGUUGUUGUAU
Molecule: long non-coding RNA, 450 nt
Filed under: Phasianus colchicus (ring-necked pheasant)
Lineage: Eukaryota; Metazoa; Chordata; Aves; Galliformes; Phasianidae
Description: lncRNA (ENSPCLG00000021046.1)
Source: RNAcentral